GCGCAGCAGUCGAGAAUACUUUACAAUGUGCGAAAGCACGAUAAGGGAACUCUGAGUGCCUCCUAAGGAGGCUGUUCUGAUGUCUAAAAAGCAACAGAAGUAAGGGCUGGGUAAGACCGGUGCCAGCCGCCGCGGUAACACCGGCAGCCCAAGGUCGUAGCCACGUUUAUUAGGUCUAAAGCGUUCGUAGCCGGCCAGGUAAGUUCCUUGGUAAAUUUAGCCGCUUAACGGUUAAGCUUUCGGGGAAUACUGCUUGGCUUGGGACUGGGAGAGGUCAGAGGUACUCCGGGGGUAGGGGUGAAAUCUAUUAAUCCCUGGGGGACCACCGGUAGCGAAGGCGUCUGACCCAGACCCAGGUCCGACGGUGAGGGGA
This 373-nucleotide ribosomal RNA is filed under the name uncultured microorganism. RNAcentral describes it as "bacterial SSU rRNA". It matches the Rfam family "Archaeal small subunit ribosomal RNA", at positions 330 to 704 of the family's 1478-position model. The record is from RNAcentral.